RNAcentral lists this unclassified non-coding RNA (270 nucleotides) under Hevea brasiliensis (rubber tree). The record is from RNAcentral. Lineage: Eukaryota; Viridiplantae; Streptophyta; Magnoliopsida; Malpighiales; Euphorbiaceae.
CAGUAUUUCAGAGCACAUCUUCUUUUGCUCUUGGAUUCCAUUCGUCCCAAUAAAAACAAUCGGAGUGUGGCUCGAAGCAUUCCAAGUGUAAGGGCUGCAUACAAGCCUCUUGACAUUAGUAAUGAGGCUAUGGAUGCAGUCUUUCUGCAGUUACAGAAGGAUAGAAAGCUGGGUUCUGCAUUUGUGAAGACUCGUUUUCCAGCAGUUGACAAGUUCCUGGCUUUUAAUGGGCACAUUACCAUGUUAGAAUUGUGUCAGCCCCCACCUGUU